GCCAGCAGCCAUAUCACCCUGCAGCUCUAAAAUGACAACCCACUGAACCUCAGCAGGGUGGAGCCUGGUCAGUACCUGGAUAGGAGACCUCCUGGGAAGCUAUGGUUGCUGCUGGAA
Molecule: ribosomal RNA, 117 nt
Filed under: Lepisosteus oculatus (spotted gar)
Lineage: Eukaryota; Metazoa; Chordata; Actinopteri; Semionotiformes; Lepisosteidae
Source: RNAcentral